GGGUCGUUAGCUCGGAUUAGUGAAACGGUUGACUUUUAAUCAGUUGGUCGCAGGUUCGAAUCCUGCACGACCCACCA
This 77-nucleotide transfer RNA is filed under the name Escherichia coli. RNAcentral describes it as "tRNA-Lys". It matches the Rfam family "tRNA". Rfam says of the family: Transfer RNA (tRNA) molecules are approximately 80 nucleotides in length. Their secondary structure includes four short double-helical elements and three loops (D, anti-codon, and T loops). Lineage: Bacteria; Pseudomonadati; Pseudomonadota; Gammaproteobacteria; Enterobacterales; Enterobacteriaceae. The record is from RNAcentral.